UUCCUCACGAAACUUCAGUGCUGCCUCAUG
This 30-nucleotide non-coding RNA is filed under the name Macaca fascicularis (crab-eating macaque). Lineage: Eukaryota; Metazoa; Chordata; Mammalia; Primates; Cercopithecidae. The record is from RNAcentral. RNAcentral also lists the same sequence under 1 other name.